UGUAUUUAUUAGAUAAAAAACCAAUGCCCUUCGGGGCUUUUUGGUGAUUCAUGAUAACUUUACGGAUCGCAUAGCCUUGCGCUGGCGACGGUUCAUUCAAAUUUCUGCCCUAUCAACUUUCGAUGGUAAGGUAUUGGCUUACCAUGGUUUCAACGGGUAACGGGGAAUUAGGGUUCGAUUCCGGAGAGGGAGCCUGAGAAACGGCUACCACAUCCAAGGAAGGCAGCAGGCGCGCAAAUUACCCAAUCCCGACACGGGGAGGUAGUGACAAUAAAUACUGAUACAGGGCUCUUUUGGGUCUUGUAAUUGGAAUGAGUACGAUUUAAACCUCUUAACGAGGAACAAUUGGAGGGCAAGUCUGGUGCCAGCAGCCGCGGUAAUUCCAGCUCCAAUAGCGUAUAUUAAAGUUGUUGCAGUUAAAAAGCUCGUAGUUGAAACUUGGGCCUGGCUGGCGGGUCCGCCUCACCGCGUGCACUCGUCCGGCCGGGCCUUCCUUCUGAAGAACCUCAUGCCCUUCACUGGGCGUGCUGGGGAACCAGG
This 540-nucleotide ribosomal RNA is filed under the name uncultured eukaryote. RNAcentral's name for it is "SSU rRNA". It matches the Rfam family "Eukaryotic small subunit ribosomal RNA", at positions 202 to 746 of the family's 1831-position model. The record is from RNAcentral.